This 1455-nucleotide ribosomal RNA is filed under the name uncultured Bordetella sp. RNAcentral's name for it is "partial 16S-23S ribosomal RNA intergenic spacer". It matches the Rfam family "Bacterial small subunit ribosomal RNA". The record is from RNAcentral. Lineage: Bacteria; Pseudomonadati; Pseudomonadota; Betaproteobacteria; Burkholderiales; Alcaligenaceae.
AGUUCGAUCCUGGCUCAGAUUGAACGCUGGCGGAUGCUUUACACAUGCAAGUCGAACGGGCAGCACGGACUUCGGUCUGGUGUGGCGAGUGGCGAACGGGUGAGUAAUGUAUCGGAACGCCUAGUAGCGGGGGAUAACUACGCGAAAGUGUAGCUAAUACCGGUAUACGCCCUUCGGGGGAAAGCGGGGGGACCUCGGGCCUCGCACUAUUAGGAGCGGCUGAUAUCGACAGCUAGUUGCGGGGUAACGGCUCACCAUGACGAUCCGUAGCUGGCUUGAGAGGACGACCAGCCACACUGGGACUGGAGACGGCCCAGACUCCUACGGGAGGCAGCAGUGGGGAAUUUUGGACAAUGGGGGAAACCCUGAUCCAGCCAUCCUGCGUAAGAUGAAGGCCUUCGGUUGUAAAGCACUUGGCAGGAAGAAACGGCACGGAUGAUGCAACUGCAACUGACGGUACCUGCAGAAUAAGGCACCGGCCAACUACGUGCCAGCAGCCGCGGUAAUACGUAGGGUGCAAGCGUUAACGGAAUUACUGGGCGCAAGCGUGCGCAGGCGGUUCUGGAAAGAAAGAUGUGAAAUCCCAGAGCUAAUCUUCUUGGAACUGCAUUUUUAACUACCGAGCUAGAGUGUGUCAGAGGGGAGGUGGAAUUCCGCGUGUAGCAGUGAAAUGCGGUAGAUGGAGGAACACCGAUGGCGAAGGCAGCCUCCUGGGAUAACACUGACGCUCAUGCACGAAAGCGUGGGGAGCAAACAGGAUUAGAUACCCUGGUAGUCCACGCCCCAAACGAUGUCAAUCCGCUGUUGGGGCCUUCGGGCCUGGUAGCGCAGCGAAUGCGUGAAGUUGACCGCCUGGGGAGUACGGUCGCAAGAUUAAAACUCAAAGGAAUUGACGGGGACCCGCACAAGCGGUGGAUGAUGUGAUUGAACGAUGCAACGCGAAAACCUUACCUACCUUGACAUUAAGUCGAAUCCUGAAGAGAUCGGGAGUGCCUUCGCAAGAGAACCGGAACACAGGUGCUGCAUGGCUGUCGUCAGCUCGGUCGUGAGAUGCCAGUUAAGUCCCAACGAGCGCAACCUUGUCAUUAUUGCUACGAAAGGGCACUCUGCACGAGACUGCCGGUGACAAACCGGAGGAAGGUGGGGAUGACGCUGCCUCUCAUGAUUUUAGCAGUAGGGCUUCAUCGUCAUACAAUGGUCGGGACAGAGGGUCGCCAACCCGCGAGGGGGAGCCAAACCCGAAACCCCGAUCAGUCCGGACGCAGUCUGCAACUCGACUGCGUGAAGUCGGAAUCGCUAGUAAUCGCGGAUCGUCGCGGUGAACAUGCCCGUAUCUGUACACACCGCCCGUCACACCAUGGGAGUGGGUUUUACCAGAAGUAGUUAGCCUUAACCCGGUGCGAGGGCGAUUACCACGGUAGGAUCUUAUGACUGGGUGAAGUCGUAACAAGGUAG